RNAcentral lists this transfer RNA (69 nucleotides) under Pogonomys macrourus (chestnut Pogonomys). RNAcentral describes it as "tRNA-Ser". It matches the Rfam family "tRNA". Rfam says of the family: Transfer RNA (tRNA) molecules are approximately 80 nucleotides in length. Lineage: Eukaryota; Metazoa; Chordata; Mammalia; Rodentia; Muridae. The record is from RNAcentral.
GAGAAAGACAUAGAGGUUAUGGAGUUGGCUUGAAACCAAUUUAAGGGGGUUCGAAUCCUUCAUUUCUUA